This 254-nucleotide ribosomal RNA is filed under the name uncultured bacterium. RNAcentral describes it as "partial 16S ribosomal RNA". It matches the Rfam family "Bacterial small subunit ribosomal RNA", at positions 524 to 776 of the family's 1533-position model. The record is from RNAcentral.
UACGUAGGGUGCAAGCGUUGUCCGGAAUUAUUGGGCGUAAAGAGCUCGUAGGCGGUCUGUCGCGUCGAUCGUGAAAACUUGGGGCUUAACCCUGAGCUUGCGGUCGAUACGGGCAUGACCGGAGUUCGGCAGGGGAGACUGGAAUUCCUGGUGUAGCGGUGAAAUGCGCAGAUAUCAGGAGGAACACCGGUGGCGAAGGCGGGUCUCUGGGCCGAUACUGACGCUGAGGAGCGAAAGCGUGGGGAGCGAACAGG